GACGAACGCUGGUGGCGUGCUUAACACAUGCAAGUCGAACGGAAAGGCCCUGCUUGCAGGGUGCUCGAGUGGCGAACGGGUGAGUAACACGUGGGUGAUCUGCCCCUUACUUUGGGAUAAGCCUGGGAAACUGGGUCUAAUACUGGAUAGGACCAUGCUGUAGGUGGUGUGGUGGAAAGAUUAGUUUCGGUAAGGGAUGAGCUCGCGGCCUAUCAGCUUGUUGGUGGGGUAAUGGCCUACCAAGGCGUCGACGGGUAGCCGGCCUGAGAGGGUGGACGGCCACAUUGGGACUGAGAUACGGCCCAGACUCCUACGGGAGGCAGCAGUGGGGAAUAUUGCACAAUGGGCGCAAGCCUGAUGCAGCGACGCCGCGUGGGGGAUGACGGCCUUCGGGUUGUAAACUCCUUUCAGCCAUGACGAAGCCCUUGUGGUGACGGUAGUGGUAGAAGAAGCACCGGCUAACUACGUG
Molecule: ribosomal RNA, 469 nt
Filed under: uncultured bacterium
Lineage: Bacteria
Description: partial 16S ribosomal RNA
Rfam family: Bacterial small subunit ribosomal RNA
Source: RNAcentral